This 656-nucleotide ribosomal RNA is filed under the name Atheliaceae sp. EC361 B263. RNAcentral's name for it is "eukaryotic LSU rRNA". It matches the Rfam family "Eukaryotic large subunit ribosomal RNA", at positions 62 to 686 of the family's 3401-position model. Lineage: Eukaryota; Fungi; Basidiomycota; Agaricomycetes; Atheliales; Atheliaceae. The record is from RNAcentral.
AAACUAACAAGGAUUCCCCUAGUAACUGCGAGUGAAGCGGGAAAAGCUCAAAUUUAAAAUCUGGCGGUCCUCUGGCCGUCCGAGUUGUAAUCUGGAGAAGCGUUUUCCGCGUCGGACCGUGUACAAGUCUUCUGGAACGGAGCGUCAUAGAGGGUGAGAAUCCCGUCUCUGACACGGACUGCCGAUGCUUCAUGUGAUACGCUCUCGAAGAGUCGAGUUGUUUGGGAAUGCAGCUCAAAAUGGGUGGUAAAUUCCAUCUAAAGCUAAAUAUUGGCGAGAGACCGAUAGCGAACAAGUACCGUGAGGGAAAGAUGAAAAGCACUUUGGAAAGAGAGUUAAACAGUACGUGAAAUUGUUGAAAGGGAAACGUUUGAAGUCAGUCGCGUCGGCCGGGACUCAACCUUGCUAUCUUGCUCGGUGCACUUCUCGGUUGACGGGUCAGCAUCAAUUUUGACCGUCGGAUAAAGGCCGAGGGAACGUGGCAUCCUCCGGGGUGUGUUAUAGCCCUUGGUUCGCAUACGGCGAUUGGGAUUGAGGAACUCAGCACGCCUUCAUUGGUCGGGGCUUAAUCGCUCACGUUAACGUGCUUAGGAUGCUGGCAUAAUGGCUUUAAGCGACCCGUCUUGAAACACGGACCAAGGAGUCUAACAUGCCCG